UGCAAGACUCGAAUGGCGAGGAAGG
RNAcentral lists this non-coding RNA (25 nucleotides) under Drosophila erecta. RNAcentral also lists the same sequence under 2 other names. Lineage: Eukaryota; Metazoa; Arthropoda; Insecta; Diptera; Drosophilidae. The record is from RNAcentral.